Molecule: ribosomal RNA, 380 nt
Filed under: uncultured archaeon
Lineage: Archaea
Description: bacterial SSU rRNA
Rfam family: Archaeal small subunit ribosomal RNA
Source: RNAcentral
UAAUACCAGCUCUCCGAGUGGUAGGGAUGAUUAUUGGGCUUAAAGCGUUCGUAGCCGGCCCAGCAAGUCUUUCGUUAAAUCCAGCGACCUAAUCGUUGGCCUGCGGGAGAUACUGUUGGGCUAGGAGGCGGGAGAAGCCGACGGUAUUCUUGGGGUAGGGGUGAAAUCCAGUAAUCCCAGGAGGACCACCAGUGGCGAAGGCGGUCGGCUAGAACGCACUCGACGGUGAGGGACGAAAGCUGGGGGAGCGAACCGGAUUAGAUACCCGGGUAGUCCCAGCCGUAAACGAUGCGGGCUAGGUGUUGGUGAGGCUACGUGCCUCUUCAGUGCCGCAUGGAAACAAUUAAGCCCGCCGCCUGGGGAGUACGGUCGCAAGGCUG